CCUACGGGUGACAGCAGUGGGGAAUAUUGCACAAUGGGGGAAACCCUGAUGCAGCGACGCCGCGUGAGUGAAGAAGUAUCUCGGUACGUAAAGCUCUAUCAGCAGGAAAGAAAAUGACGGUACCUGACUAAGAAGCCCCGGCUAACUACGUGCCAGCAGCCGCGGUAAUACGUAGGGGGCAAGCGUUAUCCGGAUUUACUGGGUGUAAAGGGAGCGUAGACGGCGCUGCAAGUCCGGAGUGAAAGGCGGGGGCUUAACCAUGGUACUGCUCUGGAAACUGUAGAGCUUGAGUGCGGGAGGGGCAGGCGGAAUUCCUAGUGUAGCGGUGAAAUGCGUAGAUAUUAGGAGGAACACCGGCGGCGAAGGCGGCCUGCUGGACCGUAACUGACGUUGAGGCUCGAAAGCGUGGGGAGCAAACAGGAUUAGAUACCCGAGUAGUC
This 440-nucleotide ribosomal RNA is filed under the name uncultured bacterium. Its description in RNAcentral is "partial 16S ribosomal RNA". It matches the Rfam family "Bacterial small subunit ribosomal RNA", at positions 338 to 795 of the family's 1533-position model. The record is from RNAcentral.